AAAAUUGGAAAAUGGGGGGAACCCCAAUCAAGCCAUGCCGCGUGUGUGAAGAAAGUCUUCGGAUUGUAAAGCACAGUAAGUUGGGAGGAAGAGUUGUAGGCUAAUACCUUGCAAUUCUGAUGUUACAAACAGAAUAAGCACCGGCUAACUUAGUGCCAGCAGCCGCGGUAAUACGAAGGGUGCAAGCGUUAAUCGGAAGUACUGGGCGUAAAGCGCGCGUAGGUGGUUUGAUAAGUUGGAUGAGAAAGCCCCAGGCUCAACAUGGGAAUUGCAUCCAAAACUGUCUGACUAGAGUAUGGCAGAGGGUGGUGGAAUUUCCUGUAUAGCGGUGAAAUGCGUAGAUAUAAGAAGGAACAUCAGUGGCGAAGGAGACUACCUGGACUGAUACUGACACUGAGGUGCGAAAGCGUGGGGAGCAAACAGG
This 424-nucleotide ribosomal RNA is filed under the name uncultured bacterium. RNAcentral describes it as "partial 16S ribosomal RNA". It matches the Rfam family "Bacterial small subunit ribosomal RNA", at positions 359 to 776 of the family's 1533-position model. The record is from RNAcentral.